This 499-nucleotide long non-coding RNA is filed under the name Bemisia tabaci. Its description in RNAcentral is "lncRNA ENSASIAIIG001256". Lineage: Eukaryota; Metazoa; Arthropoda; Insecta; Hemiptera; Aleyrodidae. The record is from RNAcentral.
UGUGUAUAGUGGUCUUUAUCUUCCUUGAGUUUGGAGGUGAGAAAGCUCAAUCAACUCAAGAAAUUACGCCUAGCACUCCCGCAAGGCGCCCGUCGGCGUAAGUUGAUGCUAUUAAUGAGCUUUGCAGGUUUACCUGGGUAUAAUCCUUUUAGUUUGUAACUCUAAAUGACUUUUCUUCUUCCUCUUUUUCACGCUUCGCUGCUAUCUUCAAGGGAGGCAAAUCUCGUGCACUGACUUAAUUUAUAGCUAGCCGUGUAAAAAAGAAAAACUCGCGGGUAGGGGGCUCACUUUGCCGCGCGGUGCGAGAGGUUUUUCAUAACCGCACCUCGAUCCCACUGCAAUGCGGCCAAGUCUGGCAAGUGUAGGCAGAGUGUCGUUAGGAAUUAUUAUAUCAGCGGGGUAAAAAAAAAGUGUUUUUAAAUUCCGUGUGUCGUUUAUCAAAAGUCUUUUGCUGCGGUUCGUAUCUCGCUCCCUAUCUCCUGCUCUGUUCUACGCCUCG